This 156-nucleotide ribosomal RNA is filed under the name Cardamine flexuosa (woodland bittercress). RNAcentral's name for it is "5.85 ribosomal RNA". It matches the Rfam family "5.8S ribosomal RNA". Rfam says of the family: 5.8S ribosomal RNA (5.8S rRNA) is a component of the large subunit of the eukaryotic ribosome. It is transcribed by RNA polymerase I as part of the 45S precursor that also contains 18S and 28S rRNA. Functionally, it is thought that 5.8S rRNA may be involved in ribosome translocation. Lineage: Eukaryota; Viridiplantae; Streptophyta; Magnoliopsida; Brassicales; Brassicaceae. The record is from RNAcentral.
AAAACGACUCUCGGCAACGGAUAUCUCGGCUCUCGCAUCGAUGAAGAAGCUAGCGAAAUGCGAUACUUGGUGUGAAUUGCAGAAUCCCGUGAACCAUCGAGUCUUUGAAGCCAAGUUGCGCCCCAAGCCUUCUGGCCGAGGGCACGUCUGCCUGGG